This 21-nucleotide non-coding RNA is filed under the name Caenorhabditis elegans. Lineage: Eukaryota; Metazoa; Nematoda; Chromadorea; Rhabditida; Rhabditidae. The record is from RNAcentral.
UAUUCUUCUAAUAUAGUGAGC